ACAUGCAAGUCGAACGAUGAAGCUGGGUGCUUGCACUUGGUGGAUUAGUGGCGAACGGGUGAGUAACACGUGAGCAACCUGCCCCUGACUCUGGGAUAAGCGCUGGAAACGGCGUCUAAUACCGGAUAUGUACCGUGGUCGCAUGAUCUGCGGUUGGAAAGAUUUUUCGGUUGGGGAUGGGCUCGCGGCCUAUCAGCUUGUUGGUGAGGUAAUGGCUCACCAAGGCGUCGACGGGUAGCCGGCCUGAGAGGGUGACCGGCCACACUGGGACUGAGACACGGCCCAGACUCCUACGGGAGGCAGCAGUGGGGAAUAUUGCACAAUGGGCGGAAGCCUGAUGCAGCAACGCCGCGUGAGGGAUGACGGCCUUCGGGUUGUAAACCUCUUUUGGCAGGGAAGAAGCGAGAGUGACGGUACCUGCAGAAAAAGCGCCGGCUAACUACGUGCCAGCAGCCGCGGUAAUACGUAGGGCGCAAGCGUUAUCCGGAAUUAUUGGGCGUAAAGAGCUCGUAGGCGGUUUGUCGCGUCUGCUGUGAAAUCCCGAGGCUCAACCUCGGGCUUGCAGUGGGUACGGGCAGACUAGAGUGCGGUAGGGGAGAUUGGAAUUCCUGGUGUAGCGGUGGAAUGCGCAGAUAUCAGGAGGAACACCGAUGGCGAAGGCAGAUCUCUGGGCCGUAACUGACGCUGAGGAGCGAAAGGGUGGGGAGCAAACAGGCUUAGAUACCCUGGUAGUCCACCCCGUAAACGUUGGGAACUAGUUGUGGGGUCCUUUCCACGGAUUCCGUGACGCAGCUAACGCAUUAAGUUCCCCGCCUGGGGAGUACGGCCGCAAGGCUAAAACUCAAAGGAAUUGACGGGGACCCGCACAAGCGGCGGAGCAUGCGGAUUAAUUCGAUGCAACGCGAAGAACCUUACCAAGGCUUGACAUACACGAGAACGGGCCAGAAAUGGUCAACUCUUUGGACACUCGUGAACAGGUGGUGCAUGGUUGUCGUCAGCUCGUGUCGUGAGAUGUUGGGUUAAGUCCCGCAACGAGCGCAACCCUCGUUCUAUGUUGCCAGCACGUAAUGGUGGGAACUCAUGGGAUACUGCCGGGGUCAACUC
RNAcentral lists this ribosomal RNA (1104 nucleotides) under Microbacterium sp. 767B2_12ECASO. Its description in RNAcentral is "bacterial SSU rRNA". It matches the Rfam family "Bacterial small subunit ribosomal RNA", at positions 53 to 1164 of the family's 1533-position model. Lineage: Bacteria; Bacillati; Actinomycetota; Actinomycetes; Micrococcales; Microbacteriaceae. The record is from RNAcentral.